Molecule: ribosomal RNA, 434 nt
Filed under: uncultured Lachnospiraceae bacterium
Lineage: Bacteria; Bacillati; Bacillota; Clostridia; Lachnospirales; Lachnospiraceae
Description: partial 16S ribosomal RNA
Rfam family: Bacterial small subunit ribosomal RNA
Source: RNAcentral
ACGGGAGGCAGCAGUGGGGAAUAUUGCACAAUGGGCGAAAGCCUGAUGCAGCGACGCCGCGUGAACGAAGAAGUAUUUCGGUAUGUAAAGUUCUAUCAGCAGGGAAGAUAAUGACGGUACCUGACUAAGAAGCACCGGCUAAAUACGUGCCAGCAGCCGCGGUAAUACGUAUGGUGCAAGCGUUAUCCGGAUUUACUGGGUGUAAAGGGAGCGCAGGCGGUGCGGCAAGUCUGAAGUGAAAUCCCGGGGCUCAACCCCGGAACUGCUUUGGAAACUGUCGUACUAGAGUGUCGGAGGGGUAAGCGGAAUUCCUAGUGUAGCGGUGAAAUGCGUAGAUAUUAGGAGGAACACCAGUGGCGAAGGCGGCUUACUGGACGAUAACUGACGCUGAGGCUCGAAAGCGUGGGGAGCAAGCAGGAUUAGAUACCCUGGUA